Molecule: unclassified non-coding RNA, 201 nt
Filed under: plant metagenome
Description: partial contains small subunit ribosomal RNA, internal transcribed spacer 1, and 5.8S ribosomal RNA
Source: RNAcentral
UCUCCGUUGGUGAACCAGCGGAGGGAUCAUUAUCGAGUUUAUAACUCCCAAACCCUAUGUGAACUUACCACUUGUUGCUUCGGCGCGCGCUUCGGCGCCGCCGAGGACACUUAAACUCUUUGUUUUUAUAAGCAUUUCGGAGUGGCCGAAAGGCAAAAUACAAAUGAAUCAAAACUUUCAACAACGGAUCUCUUGGUUCUG